UACGUAGGGUGCGAGCGUUGUCCGGAAUUAUUGGGCGUAAAGGGCUCGUAGGCGGUCUGUCGCGUCGGGAGUGAAAACUCAGGGCUUAACCCUGAGCCUGCUUCCGAUACGGGCAGACUAGAGGUAUGCAGGGGAGAACGGAAUUCCUGGUGUAGCGGUGGAGUGCGCAGAUAUCAGGAGGAACACCCGUGGCGAAGGCGGCUCUCUGGGACGGUACUGACACUGAGACGCGAAAGCGUGGGGAGCGAACAGG
Molecule: ribosomal RNA, 253 nt
Filed under: uncultured bacterium
Lineage: Bacteria
Description: partial 16S ribosomal RNA
Rfam family: Bacterial small subunit ribosomal RNA
Source: RNAcentral